AGACAGCAGCAGCCACGGGAAUACGUAGGUGGCAAGCGUUGCUCGGAAUGACUGGGCGUAAAGGGCGCGUAGGCGGAAUGCUUUGUCGGGCGUGAAAUUCCAGGGCUCAACCUGGGAACUGCGUUUGGGACUGGUUGGCUUGAGUUCGGGAGAGGAGAGUGGAAUUCCCAGUGUAGAGGUGAAAUUCGUAGAUAUUGGGAAGAACACCGGUGGCGAAGGCGGCUCUCUGGACCGAUACUGACGCUGAGGCGCGAAAGCGUGGGGAGCAAACAGGAUUAGAUACCCCCGUAGUCCCUGUCUCUUAUAC
This 307-nucleotide ribosomal RNA is filed under the name uncultured bacterium. RNAcentral describes it as "partial 16S ribosomal RNA". It matches the Rfam family "Bacterial small subunit ribosomal RNA", at positions 506 to 807 of the family's 1533-position model. The record is from RNAcentral.